RNAcentral lists this ribosomal RNA (468 nucleotides) under uncultured bacterium. Its description in RNAcentral is "partial 16S ribosomal RNA". It matches the Rfam family "Bacterial small subunit ribosomal RNA", at positions 28 to 507 of the family's 1533-position model. The record is from RNAcentral.
GACGAACGCUGGCGGCGUGCUUAACACAUGCAAGUCGAACGGAAAGGCCCUGCUUUUUUCGGGUGCUCGCGUGGCGAACGGGUGUGUAACCCGUGAAUAUCCUGCCCUUGACUUUGUGAUAACUUCAGGAAACUGGUGCUAAUACCGGCUACGAGCUCCUGCUGCAUGGUGGGGGUUGGACCGUUUCGGCGGUUGGGGCUGGACUCGCGGGUUACGAGCUUGUUGGUGGAGUAGUGGCUUACCAAGGCUUCGACGGCUAGCCGGCCUGAGAGGGUGAACGGCCACAUGGGGACUGAGAGAGGGCGCAGAGGGCUACGGUAGGCAGCAGUGGGGAAUAUUGCACAAUGGGGGGAAGCGUGAUACAGAAACCUCGCGUGUGGGAUGACGGCCAUGGGGUGAGGAACCGCAGUCGCCUGAGACGAAGCGGGAGUGACGGUAAUGGGUAAAGAAGCACCGGCUAACUACGUG